AGGGGUGUCGCCAAGCGGUAAGGCACACGGCUCUGACCCGUGUAUCCAAGGUUCGAAUCCUUGCACCCCUGCCA
RNAcentral lists this transfer RNA (74 nucleotides) under Bacillota bacterium. RNAcentral describes it as "Firmicutes bacterium (gut metagenome) tRNA-Gln". It matches the Rfam family "tRNA". Rfam says of the family: Transfer RNA (tRNA) molecules are approximately 80 nucleotides in length. Their secondary structure includes four short double-helical elements and three loops (D, anti-codon, and T loops). Further hydrogen bonds mediate the characteristic L-shaped molecular structure. tRNAs have two regions of fundamental functional importance: the anti-codon, which is responsible for specific mRNA codon recognition, and the 3' end, to which the tRNAs corresponding amino acid is attached (by aminoacyl-tRNA synthetases). tRNAs cope with the degeneracy of the genetic code in two manners: having more than one tRNA (with a specific anti-codon) for a particular amino acid; and 'wobble' base-pairing, i.e. permitting non-standard base-pairing at the 3rd anti-codon position. The record is from RNAcentral. Lineage: Bacteria; Bacillati; Bacillota.